RNAcentral lists this ribosomal RNA (542 nucleotides) under uncultured archaeon. RNAcentral's name for it is "bacterial SSU rRNA". It matches the Rfam family "Bacterial small subunit ribosomal RNA", at positions 509 to 1050 of the family's 1533-position model. The record is from RNAcentral.
CAGCCGCCGCGGUAAUACGUAGGGGGCAAGCGUUGUCCGGAAUAAUUGGGCGUAAAGGGCGCGUAGGCGGCAAGGCAAGUCAGCAGUGGAAGUCCCAUUUUCAAGGUGGGGAGGGCUGUUGAAACUGCGUUGCUUGAGUGCAGGAGAGGUUAUCGGAAUUCCCGGUGUAGCGGUGAAAUGCGUAGAGAUCGGGAGGAACACCAGUGGCGAAGGCGGGUAACUGGACUGCAACUGACGCUGAGGCGCGAAAGUGUGGGGAGCAAACAGGAUUAGAUACCCUGGUAGUCCACACUGUAAACGAUGAAUGCUAGGUGUAGGGGGUAUCGACCCCUUCUGUGCCGGAGUAAACACAAUAAGCAUUCCGCCUGGGGAGUACGGUCGCAAGAUUAAAACUCAAAGGAAUUGACGGGGGCCCGCACAAGCAGCGGAGCAUGUGGUUUAAUUCGAAGCAACGCGAAGAACCUUACCAGGUCUUGACAUCCAGGUAAAGCUUGAGAGAUCAGGUGUGCCUUCGGGCGAUCUGAGACAGGUGGUGCAUGGCC